This 63-nucleotide transfer RNA is filed under the name Pygoluciola sp. 1 XHF-2022a. RNAcentral's name for it is "tRNA-Cys". Lineage: Eukaryota; Metazoa; Arthropoda; Insecta; Coleoptera; Lampyridae. The record is from RNAcentral.
AGUUUUGUAUUCAAUGAUGAUUUUAAAUUGCAAAUUUAAAGGUGAUAGAAAAAUCCAAAACUU